Molecule: ribosomal RNA, 253 nt
Filed under: uncultured bacterium
Lineage: Bacteria
Description: partial 16S ribosomal RNA
Rfam family: Bacterial small subunit ribosomal RNA
Source: RNAcentral
GACAGAGGGGGCAAGCGUUGUUCGGAAUUACUGGGCGUAAAGGGCGCGUAGGCGGCCGCCUAAGUCAGACGUGAAAUCCCUCGGCUCAACCGGGGAACUGCGUCUGAUACUGGGUGGCUUGAAUCCGGGAGAGGGAUGCGGAAUUCCAGGUGUAGCGGUGAAAUGCGUAGAUAUCUGGAGGAACACCGGUGGCGAAGGCGGCAUCCUGGACCGGCAUUGACGCUGAGGCGCGAAAGCCAGGGGAGCAAACGGG